Molecule: long non-coding RNA, 1677 nt
Organism: Mauremys reevesii (Reeves's turtle)
Lineage: Eukaryota; Metazoa; Chordata; Testudines; Geoemydidae
Exons: 3
Source: RefSeq, a predicted model, not a curated record
CCCUGGCUGAGAAUCCUUUCCAUGGCUAGAGGCGCCUUUUUAAUUUUUACUCACCCAGCGGUGGUCCGGGUCUUCGGCGGUGGGCCCUUCACUUGCUCCGGGUCUUCGACAGCACUUUGGCAGCGGGUCCUUCAGUGCUGCUGAAGACAUGGAGCAAGUGAAGGACCCGCUGCUGCCGAACACUCGGAGCGCCCCCGGUGAGUGGAAGCGCCGCAGUGGGUGACACCCUUUUUUAUGUCUGCUCCCCUGCUUUGCCCCAGGCCCCCUGAAUCCUCUGGGCGGCCCUGGCAGUUGGUGUCAUUUUGGGGGGGUUAAACUAAUGUUUACAACAAACCAAACUGAAGUGAGUGUAAUGUAGGUGAAAGGUGCUGGCCUGGAGCCCUAGAUACUGAGUUCUCUGUGCAGGGGCAGAGUAGGACAAGCAGCCUCCUUGUGGUCCUCCUCCAGGAGUCAAAGGGGAGUGUGCUCUCCAGUCAGCCCAUUGCACACGAGAGCUGUAGCACAUGGAGGAUGUUCCUCCCAGACUACCAAGUGCAUGGCUGUUCCCAGUGGGCCCUUCUCGCUGCUGGCAUCGUGACUGGACCCUGGUCUGCUGUGUCCCUCUUCCUAAGCAAAGUAACAUGACAAACCAAAAAACUCUGAUUUGGACUCAAGUCCUGUUUCUCAUUUCCCCCAAGACCCAGAGGGGAGGGGCUCUGCCUGGGCCCAUAAAGCAUAUAUCAGUCCCAGCACUGUAAUGAGAGUUCUGUUUGACCUGGGUGAAGCCUAAAAAGUUAAAUAAUUAGACUGUUCAUAAGUGCUUGGCUUCCCCAGCCAAGCCUUUGGUGGGUCAUGGAGGCACAUCUCAGAGCCGAGCCCCCAGCCAUGCUACAGAACCACAUCAUCUCAGAGCCGAGCCCCCAGCCAUGUCCUCUCAGCCAAGCCCCUAGCCAUGCUAUGGAACAACGUCGUCUCAGAGCCGAGCCCCAAACGUGUAUGGAACUGCGUCAUCUCAGAGCUGAGCUCCCAGCCAUGUCGUCUCAAGAGCCGAGCCCUCAGCCAUGCUAUGGAACCACGUCAUCUGAGAGUUGAACCCCAGCCAUGUCGCCUCUGAGCUGAGCCCCCGACAUGCUAUGGAACCACAUCAUCUCAGAGCUGAACACUUGACGUGCUACGGAAUCACAUCAUCUCAGAGCCGAGCCCCUGACGUGCUACAGAACGACGUCAUCUGAGAGUUGAGCCCCAGCCAUGUCGUCUCAGAGCUGAGCCCGUGGGAAUGCCACUGGAGCCACAUCAUCUCAGAGCCUCACCUCGCCUGUGCUACCAGAGCCAUGUCAUCUUGGGGCUCAUAAGCACUAAAAUUUAAUGAAAAGAAGAAAAGAACCCCCGAAGCGAUAAGCGUCAGGACUGUCGGAAGUAGAAAAAGAGACCAGCACAUGGCAAUGAGGACAAACAGAUCAAAGAGGAAGAAAGACAGAAGGAAACAACGGGGUCAGCACCCAGACUUCUGCACCGGGCAGCACAGCAUGGGGAGGAGGUGACCAGCCCUCAGUGGUGAAAGAACAGGUUAAGACUAUUUAGAAAAGCUGGACAUGCACAAGUCCGUGGGGCCGGAUGCGCGGCAUCCGAGAGUGCUGAGGGAGUUGGCUGGUGUGAUUGCAGAGCCAUUGGCCAUUAUCUUUGAAAAUUCAUGGUGAU